This 142-nucleotide unclassified non-coding RNA is filed under the name uncultured Capnodiales. RNAcentral's name for it is "sequence contains ITS2". Lineage: Eukaryota; Fungi; Ascomycota; Dothideomycetes; Capnodiales. The record is from RNAcentral.
CACCACUCAAGCCUGGCUUGGUAUUGGGCGGCGGGACGUCCCCGCGCCCCAAUUUCACCGGCUGGACGACCCGUAUCUCAGCGUUGUGGCAUCAAAUUCGCUGGCGAGAGGGGGGUCCGCGCCGUUAAAACUUCUAUCAAAG